ACGCUGCGCUGGCCACACUUUCCGCCCUCGAGGCCGGGAGUUCCGGCUUCCAGCCAGUGCCCCCGGCGUAGCCGCGCCCUGUCCUGCACGACAUCCCGGAGCCUGGACCUGAGGCGAACUCCCGUGCCCACCCCAAUCCAGGACACGCUUGGCAGGGCGCUUGGCCUUUGUUAAUGUAUCUGACCCCGAGCCACCCGUCUCCGUGAAGACCUCUCCCUCCUCAGAUCCUGGCCCCUGUGGGGCAUCUAGCAGGCUGGGGACACACAGAGCAGCCCAGCCCAGGCCUCCUGCAGGGAGGACAGUCCCCAGAGCCAAGCAAGAGAGGUCCAGGCCCAGCGCACAAGUGUCGUGCCAACCUCUGCCCACAGCAGCUUAGGAGCAGCCCAUUGGCCAAGUGCAUCCGAGGCCGGCCCAGAGCCCAGAGGUGGAGACCAGGACUUGCCUCUUGAUGUAGGAGGUAAAGUCACCUUGCAGCGGGGCCAGGAUACCGGGAGAGGAGGGAACGGGGCUGUUCCUACCAGCUUUCUCCGAGCCAGCUUUCUGACGGUUGACUGACGGCUGAGGGGUUCAAGAAGGAGGACACGGGCACAGGGACUCAGGGGCAGUGAGGGG
Molecule: long non-coding RNA, 612 nt
Organism: Symphalangus syndactylus (siamang)
Lineage: Eukaryota; Metazoa; Chordata; Mammalia; Primates; Hylobatidae
Source: RefSeq, a predicted model, not a curated record